This is a non-coding RNA of Micromonospora narathiwatensis, 87 nucleotides long. Lineage: Bacteria; Bacillati; Actinomycetota; Actinomycetes; Micromonosporales; Micromonosporaceae. The record is from Rfam.
CCAGGCGCGUGCUUGCUGCCUGGCCCUGCCCUUGGCGUGCGCUGCUGGUAACGGCGGGGUGCGAAGCCCGAGGGGAAAGCCGAAGGG